UACGAAGGGGGCUAGUGUUGCUCGGAAUUACUGGGCGUAAAGGGCGCGUAGGCGGAUAUCUAAGUCGGGGGUGAAAGCCCAGGGCUCAACCUCGGAAUUGCCUUCGAUACUGGAUAUCUUGAGUUCGGGAGAGGUGAGUGGAAUGACGAGUGUAGAGGUGAAAUUCGUAGAUAUUCGGCGGAACACCAGUGGCGAAGGCGUCUCCCUGGCCCGAUACUGACGCUGAGGCGCGAAAGCGCGGGUAGCAAACAGG
RNAcentral lists this ribosomal RNA (253 nucleotides) under uncultured bacterium. RNAcentral's name for it is "partial 16S ribosomal RNA". It matches the Rfam family "Bacterial small subunit ribosomal RNA", at positions 524 to 776 of the family's 1533-position model. The record is from RNAcentral.